GAAGCUGGUCGCAAGAGCAGGGAUAUUGAUGAAACCAAACCAAUAUUGGUGGUAGAUAGCGCGUUGCCCAUUGAAAAGUAUGAUCGCACCCUUUUCUACAACAUAGCAUUGAGCGAAACAUCUGAUAUCAUCAAACGAGUCUCCGUCACCCUGGAUGUGGAAACAGCGCAUCCGCUGCUCGAGGUGUCUGAGGAUCGGAAGACGGUGAGACGGACCUUGACCGAGAGGAAUCUCCCUAGCACCGGGAAGAGGUUUACACACUGGACGUGUGUGCUGGGAUCGGAGGGAUUCACAUCGGGGAGACAUUACUGGGAGGUGGAGGUGGCGGGGAGUCGGUACUGGAGGCUGGGAGUCGCCG
This is a long non-coding RNA of Amblyraja radiata (thorny skate), 358 nucleotides long. RefSeq lists it as uncharacterized. NCBI's taxonomy places the organism in Eukaryota, Metazoa, Chordata, Chondrichthyes, Rajiformes, Rajidae. The record is from RefSeq and is a predicted model, not a curated record. The transcript is spliced from 3 exons.